AGCAGCCGCGGUAAUUCCAGCUCCAAUAGCGUAUAUUAAAGUUGUUGCAGUUAAAAAGCUCGUAGUUGAAUUUCGGGAUUGACACAUCGGUCGUGCCUUAAGGGGUAUGAACUGGUGUAGUCAGUUUCUCACCUUCUGGAGAACCGCGAUGUCCUUAAUUGGGUGCCGCGAGGAGCCAGAACCUUUACUUUGAAAAAAUUAGAGUGUUUAAAGCAGGCAUUUUGCUUGAAUACAUUAGCAUGGAAUAAUAAAAAUAGGACGGAUGGUUCUAUUUUGUUGGUUUCUAGGAUCACCGUAAUGAUUAAUAGGGAUAGUUGGGGGCAUUAGUAUUCAAUUGUCAGAGGUGAAAUUACUUGGAUUUAUUGAAGACUAACUACUGCGAAAGCAUUUGCCAAGGAUGUUUUCAUUAAUCAAGAACGAAAGUUAGGGGAUCGAAGACGAUCAGAUACCGUCGUAGUCUUAACCAUAAACUAUAGCCGACUAGGAAUCAGACGAUGUUAAUUUUUAAUGACUUCGUUGG
Molecule: ribosomal RNA, 520 nt
Filed under: uncultured Entrophospora
Lineage: Eukaryota; Fungi; Glomeromycota; Glomeromycetes; Entrophosporales; Entrophosporaceae
Description: SSU rRNA
Rfam family: Eukaryotic small subunit ribosomal RNA
Source: RNAcentral